GUGGAUAUGGUCUAGUUGGUUAUGACGCCAGAUUGUGGCUCUGGAGAUCGAGGGUUCGAAUCCCUCUAUUCACCCCA
RNAcentral lists this transfer RNA (77 nucleotides) under Tissierellia bacterium. RNAcentral's name for it is "tRNA-His". It matches the Rfam family "tRNA". From Rfam's summary of the family: Transfer RNA (tRNA) molecules are approximately 80 nucleotides in length. Their secondary structure includes four short double-helical elements and three loops (D, anti-codon, and T loops). Lineage: Bacteria; Bacillati; Bacillota; Tissierellia. The record is from RNAcentral.